GAUUCAUCACCCAUCCACAGUUUUUUCCUUUUUGGAAUCCAUUGAACUGGAAAAAAAAACUACAAUGUGAGCUGAAAGUAUGAAAACAACAUAUAUCUGAAAGAAUAAAGAACUAGCUCUAACAUAUCUAUGAAAGAAUACACCUCCAAGGAACUAGCUUUGAACAUAUCUCUGAAAGAAUAGAGAGCAUGCAAAGUUCAAGGAAAGAAUAAGCAAAAUGGCACACUAGUAUGCAGUAGUACGAGUCCAGUCUUGUACGUGUUAGUAUUAUAUUUGAAUAGUAGCUAGAAUUGAAGUUCAGGUAACCAUGGCACACACAUAGCUUCAGUCAUGUACACACACACUGUAAUAGUAGCUGCAAUUAAAGUUCAAAUAACCACAGCAUCCAUAACAGAACAAGAAUCAGGCUAGCAGCUAGGCAAGCAAGCUUCAGCGGCAUGAAUACACAUCAGCGGCAAGCUAGAACACGCUAGUAGGCUGUAGAAGUCUCCUUGUAAAUUUUCAAACAGAAGUGCUUCAGUUCAGUUCAGUAGUAAUGCAUGGAAAAAUAAAAGCAAUGGAAUAAACUAUAACUGAGCCAAAUAUGUAAUUUCAACAAACUAGACCUCAUUGCUUGACUUUAGCAGUAAUACACGAUCAUCAGUUCAAUAUAAACAGACUGAUGUUAACAUCACCAAUAUGUUGUCCGUCCAACCUCCCUUGGGCUGCAGUUCCAAUAGAAAACAAAUUAGUAAGAUAAAGAGCAUUAGAGAGGAAAGAGAUAGAACGGGUGCAUGGACUGCCGCUGGUUUUCUUGUUGAACCGCAGCUGAAGAAACUCCUACAGGCUACAAGUCGUAAUGAAGAGAAAACGGAGAUGAGGUUGUGUGGCGGCGGCGCUGAAUGUAAAGGAGCUUCGGGAUCUAUCGUGUGACGCGCGGCUGGUCACCGGAGCGAGCGCCGGGCGAGCGAGUAGGGUCGCCGGAGGGGAGCGGGGAGGGGGGAUCCAAGGACCAGGGGCGCCAUGCAUG
Molecule: long non-coding RNA, 1009 nt
Filed under: Triticum aestivum (bread wheat)
Lineage: Eukaryota; Viridiplantae; Streptophyta; Magnoliopsida; Poales; Poaceae
Description: long non-coding RNA (TAES_LNC027161)
Source: RNAcentral